This 616-nucleotide ribosomal RNA is filed under the name Centrotoclytus sp. SNU87. RNAcentral describes it as "partial large subunit ribosomal RNA". The stretch from base 209 to 397 matches the Rfam family "Archaeal large subunit ribosomal RNA", at positions 1797 to 2106 of the family's 2987-position model. The record is from RNAcentral. Lineage: Eukaryota; Metazoa; Arthropoda; Insecta; Coleoptera; Cerambycidae.
UUCUCGAAUUUAAAAGAGCUAUGGAUUUAAUUGUCAUAAAUUUUUAAAAUUCGUAAUGAAAUGUUAAUAUAUCUAGUUUUUUAAGAAAGUUUAAUUUUUUUCUUUCUUUAGGGAAAAGCUUGAGGUAGGAUUAAUAGUUUUUUUAUAAUUUGUCUAUUAAAAUUUAAAAUUUAAUUUUUUUAGUGAUAAUGAGAGAAUUAGUAUAAAUUAAGAAAAAGGAACUUGGCAAAUAUUUUUCACCUGUUUAUUAAAAACAUGUCCUCUUGCUUAUUAUUUUAGGUCUUGCCUGCCCACUGUGGCCGCGGUAUUUUGACCGUGCUAAGGUAGCAUAAUCAUUAGUUUCUUAAUUAGAAGCUGGAAUGAAUGGUUUGAUGAAAAAAUUACUGUCUCUUUCUUAUUGAACUUGAUUUUUAAGUUAAAAAGCUUAAAUGUUGUUAUUAGACGAGAAGACCCUUUAGAGUUUUAUUUUGGUUGGGGUGAUUGAAAAAUUUAAAUAACUUUUGAUUAUAAGAAAAAAUUACCUAAGGGAUAACAGCGUAAUAUUCUUUAGAGUUCUAAUCGAAAGGAAAGUUUGCGACCUCGAUGUUGGAUUAAAAUUUAUUUUGGUGUAGAAGCU